Oncorhynchus keta (chum salmon) is the source of this 608-nucleotide long non-coding RNA. RefSeq lists it as uncharacterized. The transcript has 3 exons. The record is from RefSeq and is a predicted model, not a curated record. NCBI's taxonomy places the organism in Eukaryota, Metazoa, Chordata, Actinopteri, Salmoniformes, Salmonidae.
CUCACAGACAUUAGACUUACUUUGGGACCAAUGUCACAGAGAUGGAUAAGAACUACAGAUCACAAAAUGGCCGACCGCCAAAACUACAAGUCCCAGAAGCAAGGGGAACCCUCAGAAGGUGGAGCCAACUCACAGAUAAAGGGUCAAGAAAAACCAGGAAGAGGAAGAGAGAGUGCUGGAAGGAGCUAUGAACAAUAGAGAAAGAGACUAUAGAGAUUGGUUGGAUUUACCGUGUAUGAGCUGGAUUGUUUUGGACUUACCUGUUGGCGUUUGGACCUGGACCUACUGAGAACCCGAUUCGUGUACCGAACCCUGCUAUCCUUGACCUCGCCUACGGCCUGGGUGGACCAGGACGGAGAAACAAACAGACAGUAAUCUUUGGAGGGAGUUGAAAGUCCGUGUUGCCCAGCAUCAGCCCCAAAACAUCACUGCUCUAGAGGAGAUCUGCAUGGAGGAAUGGGCCAAAAUACCAGCAACAGUGUGUGAAAACCUUGUGAAGACUUACAGAAAACGUUUGACCUCUGUCAUUGCCAACAAAGGGUAUAUAACAAAGUAUUGAGAUAAACUUUUGUUAUUGAUCAAAUACUUAUUUUCCACCAUAAUUUGCA